Molecule: ribosomal RNA, 496 nt
Filed under: uncultured bacterium
Lineage: Bacteria
Description: partial 16S ribosomal RNA
Rfam family: Bacterial small subunit ribosomal RNA
Source: RNAcentral
GAUGAACGCUGGCGGCGUGCCUAAUACAUGCAAGUCGAGCGAACGGACGAGAAGCUUGCUUCUCUGAUGUUAGCGGCGGACGGGUGAGUAACACGUGGAUAACCUACCUAUAAGACUGGGAUAACUUCGGGAAACCGGAGCUAAUACCGGAUAAUAUUUUGAACCGCAUGGUUCAAAAGUGAAAGACGGUCUUGCUGUCACUUAUAGAUGGAUCCGCGCUGCAUUAGCUAGUUGGUACGGUAACGGCUUACCGAGGCAACGAUGCAUAGCCGACCUGAGAGGGGAUUCGGCCACACUGGACCUGAGCCACGGCCCAGACCCCUACGGGAGGCAGCAGUAGGGAAUCUUCCGCAAGGGGCGAAAGCCUGACGGAGCAACGCCGCGGGAGUGAUGAAGGUCUUCGGAUCGUAAAACUCUGUUAUUAGGGAAGAACAUAUGUGUAAGUAACUGUGCACAUCUUGACGGUACCGAAUCAGAAAGCCACGGCUAACUACGU